UUAAGUUGUGAAUUAAUGUCACUAUAUUUGAUCCAUGGAUGCUUAUUUAAUAGCAGGUGAUACAUAUACCUUAUUUUUACACGUAAUUCCAACCUCGACAAACUGAUUAUAUGAUACCACAAAAGAAAAUCCAUUUCAUCUGGUACACGCAAGACAAACCUCUCAAGUAUUCAAUAUUAAGAAAGCAAACUGUUAGAUUAAGUUCACAUGAGCCAUAACUUAAGGUUCUUCUGAAGAAUCAGAAUAUGUGAAUCGUAAAAAUCAACGUGGCGUCGUUAGAGAUAUAGCUUCACAUUGUCCAUGUAGUUCAAAACAAUGGCCUAAAGGCGUUGUACCUGAACACAUUUCAACCAAGUAGUGAAAUCAAUCAAUCAUUCAAUUCAAAGGUGUGUGCAGGAUGGGAUUAACACAAGUCAACAAAACAAAAUGCCGAGCAUAAUGUAUCUUAGAUUGCAUUAAACAAAUAUAAUACGCUAACUUCAACUUGUAAACAAGUUCAUGUAAGUGUGUGAGAGAGGUGACAGGACACACCGUGAACUCAUCCCUUUUACCAAGCAGUGCAUACUAUUCGUAAAUGAAAAAUAUUAGAGAUUAAAAUUAACAUAGCUAAGCUCAUAACUAGGUGGUUGUACAUUGUUUCCCAAUAGUUCGAGCUAUACUUCCAAUGAUUGAAGAUGCAACACAUGUGAAGAUCAGACAAAAAAUUCUGCAAGAGUUCUUCUAGAGUUACAACAUGUGGCAGAUCUGAAUAAAUACAAAUAUAUAUCAAACAUACAACCAUGUACAGUAAUAUGCAUAGAAACAAUAAAAAUGAAUUUGUAGAAGCUAGCCUUCACCAUGCAUGUGUCGGGCUGCGUAUAUGCUUCAUAUUUUUUAAAGGAGGAAAGAACCUGGGCCUCUGCAUCAGAACAAUGCAUGCAGCCAUUUAAUUAAAAGUCUAGCAAAUCAAGGUCUAUAGUAUCUGGUUCACAUUCCUACGCAUAAAUCCAUUUUUUGUUAUGUUAUCAUAACAAACUUGCUUCCUUAGUUUGCAAUACAUAACCAUAUGGGCAAGUAAACAAAGAGAGAAACAAUAUGGUGGAUCAAUAAAAAAUGUGAACUGUUUACUUGCAUCAACAACACGAAGACUGAAGUGUGUACAUCAGGAAAAAUAACUUUUAUGUACAAAAUACCAAAAACUUAUACUACCUUAAAAAUCCCAGCAGAUGAAACUACAAAAAUGUGAAGUUUACCGUACACUCAUUUAGCUAGCCAAUUGUACAAUGUUGCAUAAGAGAACAUAUAGGACAGUACCCCUAUAGUCAACCAUUCAAGAACCCUGCAUGUCAGAAUUUCAACACUAAAAAAUACAUCAAAGUUGAGUGGAUAUAGAGCUAGACAAAAGAACCAGGUGCCCUGAGAACUAAUAAAUGAUAAAAGAAGAGAAACAAUCUCAGCAAAAUUGCCUAAGCUUUGACUAAUAGCAAAUACCAUGGCAUGGUAACAUGACUGAAUUGUACAUACAGUCCAUUGUGGAUUCCAACAAACAACCCCUCCUUACCUCCAUACUGUUACUAUUAAGCACUUCUCUGAACGGCCUCGUCUUGUAUCUCAUAUUAUAUUGAAUUGUAAGUAAGACCAUUUGAUAAAUGUGCUAUCCAAAUCUGCGAGCAAAGAAAGAAGAUAAAUAAUCAUUCCCAUAUGGUAGUACAUAGUGCCUGAUUACAGUAAUAACAUCCUUAACAACAAAGAUUAUGGGUGUCCAGGAUGCUAUCUGUUGAGUUGCAUUGCAUCAUAGUUGGGCCAGUCGGCGAGUGCCUAGGAACUGUUACAGCGACGCUUUAGGCGAGUCUUAAACUGCAGAAGAUAAAUUGUGGUUCCUUCCUGAAGGCUCAGUGAACAAGACAACAAAGGAAUGGUUGAUCCCCUCCUUGCCAGCUGAAAAAAUGCAAACAUAAUGCUUGGAGAAUCUCUUGUCGCAGUGAUCCCUUUCCAUUAGAAAAUUUAGAGAAGCCAAAAAAUGAAUGGUUGGACAGGGGGUGGCAUGUCUAAC
Molecule: long non-coding RNA, 2032 nt
Filed under: Triticum aestivum (bread wheat)
Lineage: Eukaryota; Viridiplantae; Streptophyta; Magnoliopsida; Poales; Poaceae
Description: long non-coding RNA (TAES_LNC001602)
Source: RNAcentral